This is an RNA transcript of Lolium rigidum, 11679 nucleotides long. It is a transcript of the gene named FK506-binding protein 5-like, with no coding region annotated. The transcript is spliced from 7 exons. Lineage: Eukaryota; Viridiplantae; Streptophyta; Magnoliopsida; Poales; Poaceae. The record is from RefSeq and is a predicted model, not a curated record.
UCUUUCAUGAUCCAGAUCAUCUUGGACAGAGCACGGUCCCAAUCUGGUCAUUGAAUCGGUAGCGGCACUGGGAUCUGCUGCAUCUUCGGUUAACAGCUUGUGUGAUUCGACCAUAGGCGUGUGCCCCUCUACGGCUGAGGUUCUUCGGGCCCCCAAGCUUCGUGAUGUUCCAUCGUUUGGUCCCGAUAUUCAUCAGGUGAGUAAGAAUUCUCCGUAAGCUCCACCGGUCCCGUCGGCUCCUCCUCAUCCCGCUGCAUCUCAGGUCUCAUCCCCGCCAUCUCAGAUUUCUUUCCCGUUUUGGCGGACCUAGGGAUUUUUUUGCUCAAAGCCUGGGCACACCGCAGUCUCUCCGAGAUAGGGCACGCCGCCGUGCGUCGUCCCGUUUGGUCGGUCUGGCUCGCAAGGAAGACGAACAGAUAGAUAGAUCGAUCGAUUCGUGUGUCGGUCGGUCUGGCUUCGUUAACAGUUUGGUUCGGAUUAUAGUCAACGGGCCAAGGCCAAGUGUUUGGCGAAAAAAAGUCAAUGGGCCAAGUUGUGCUGCGAGGAAACAGGCCCGAUGGCCAGUGAAAGUGAUACACGUUUUUUCAGCCCAUUGCGUUGAAUUCUUGCAGUUCCAGCACCGUAUGUAUCAUGUAUGUCGCCCAGGGAGCUCGCCGGAGUUCGUGCAAGUGGCGGCGCCGAGCCCGGGCGGUUAAUAGAGACCUGGUUCGGUACACCCGGAGCGCCUGCGCAAGAUGAGGAGGAGGAGGAGGCACUCCUCGAGGGCCAUCUCAUGUGAGGAUCUGACCCAACCCUCUCCUCAAAUUUUCCGUUCCUUAGUAUCUUCUCUUAGUUAGUUUUGCUGUGUGUCUUCGUUUCGGUGCUUUCGGGCUCCUCCUCGAUGGAGUUGGAACUAGGCCAGGGAUUUUCUAGUGCUAUACGUUAGCUGAUUUGAAAUGCUUAUACCUUUGGACUUGUGGAAACACUUACGAUUGAUGGAUUGAUUAUUGUUCUCGAUGGAAUUGGACGAACAUAAAAUUUUCUUAGGAGAGGGGCGGUACGCGAUUCACUCCAGUGCAAGAUGACCUGCAGAGAACAGUUGUAUCUGAAAUCUCCGUGUACCAACAUUUUGUCCCAAAAAUCUCCCACAAAUCAUGUUUUAUACCAAUGUCGAAUCUUUAUGCCCGCUCCUGGUUUCAUGAAACUGUAAGUUUGGGCAAGCCAGAUCAAGUUGCUAAUUUAUCGAGUUAAAAUAGACAUGCCAAAUGUGCAUUUGUAGGUUCGUGUAUAAUUUUAGUGAGUGAUCCAUGGUAGUGCUAACUAUGUAGGUGCAUAGAAGUGCAUUGCUUUUGUCUCUGAAUAUUUUCAACUAAUUUUUUGGAUUUUUUUAGGAAUUCUUAUUAUUUUCGUGGAAAGCACCUACAAGCCCGAUUGAAAAGGCCCUUAAUACAUUUGGUUAUGUCCAGGUAACAGAUGCCCUGCAUCUCAGAUUUGUUUCAUGGAAAGCCUUUGCGUUUCUUUUCAUUGAAAAAGAGAGAGUUUUGCUUCCUCCCUCUAAACCUGUUGUAACGCUCCUUUGAUUGCUCCCUUUGGGAGAGGUUAAUAUAUUGUUCAGGCUGACGCAAGCCCGCCGUAGUCCAGGUCAAAAGAGAGAGAGAGAGAGUUUGUUGUUACACGCCUCCUAAGAGGUUAAGGUUCCGGAUUUUUACAUGCCCUGCAUCUGAGGUUAUGUCAAAAGCUACAAUUCAAACUAUGCUUCACUAAACAAAAAUUGUGUCCUUAUUUCCAAAGUUGAAUAGUUAGUGGCGUCUCCAUAUUCUGUGAACAUCUAUCUGUACCACAUCUCUUACUUCCUUAUGCCCAAACUUACAUUUGCCAUUUUGCCAUUUUGUUCGACUAUGUCUAAUUGUGCCUUUGUCUGGGUUUGUCAGAUCGCUUUUCACUUUUUCUAGGUCAUUACUCAUGAAAUCUACAAGGCUAGAUGGAUUAGUUAUGGAGUGUAAAAUAGGAAAUCUGGGUUGGUUAGUGUUGGUAUACUUAUGUGUAAUACUAGAAGUAUAGGAGGGUGGAAUUGUAAAAGGUACUUUGUAUAUGUGUAACCAGUGAAGAAUAGAGAAAGUAGAGUAGUUCCAGAAAAAUCUACAAUCCCCAUUGAGUGUUCCUGUAGCUCUGGUGGUCUCCAGCGAUUACGACAUGGUAUCAGAGCAGGAGGCAUCGGUCGACCCUCGCCGGUGGUGAGUCGGUAGCGUGCGGCGGAGCUCUAGGCAGCCAGGGGAGUUGGUGCAGGCGGGGACAAGAUCCAAGAGAAGGGCAACUGUCUGGGAGGAGGCGUUGUGCUGGUGCGGAGCCGGCGGCCGGCAGCGUGCAGAAGUACGGGCUGGAGGAGGUGGGCCUUGGAGGUGAUUCCAGGUCCUGGUGCUCGUGGUGUGGUAUUGCAAGUGGUGAAGAUUGCCAGGGAAGCUGCUGUGUACUUGAGAGAAGGAGCGACCAGAAGGAAGGAGGAAUUGCUGUAUUGACUGAAUGAAGAGGUGGCUGGUUUUUCUGUGUGUUGACUAUUGAGAUUUCAGAAGAGGGGACCGUUGCAGGUUGGUCUGAAACUCUGAGGAGAGAGUUGUGGCAGAGGAUAAAAUUGCUGCUAGUGGUGUGCUGUUAGCAGAACCAUGAAGAUGUCAAGGUCAGUGAACACAUUUGAUAAAAUUUGUUUUAGGACAUGCGAGGGCAUGUUGUCCUGAACUGAUCAGAGAAGGUUAUGGACACAGUCAGAAUUGGUAUAACAGAGAACGUGGUUAUGGUUUCGGUAUGCGGGAUUGUGUUGCAAAGUCUUGGCGGAGAAGUGGGGAUUGGCUGUGUCCAGAGCAAGCUGUGGAAAUGUAAAUUUUGCAUUCCGUGGUGCUUGUAAUCGUUGCAUAACUGUACGUCCUUCUAGUGUCAGUGGAUUAUGUGCUGGUAGAGGGUCUCAAAAGGUCACUGUCCGGAUGACUGUUGAUGAUUUGAAAAAAUGGUACCAGUUCAAAAAUUGGUACCAGGUCAAAGGUACAGAACAUGGUGAUAAGAAAAUGUGUGAAGUUGAUGCUGUCUGUGCUAAGCAUUGUAGUAAUAUCUCAACUCCUGUUUGGUCUGAUCGCAAAGGUGCACCAUGGAUGAUUGAUUCAGGUGCAUCUAGACAUAUGGCUGGUUCCUAUGGAGAAUUUCAUGAUUAUAUUCCUGAGAUAGGUAACCAAAGUGUUAAAUUGGCCGAUGGUUCAGCUCAAGCCAUCACGGGUUCAGGAAAAGUUAUAUGUAAUCCUAACUUGUCACUUUCAUCUGUGCUCCAUGUUCCCACAUUCCCAAUUAAUCUCAUGUCCAUAAGUUGUAUCACUCGGGAACUUAAUUGUGCUGCUAUUUUCUUCCCAUCAUGGUGUAUAUUUCAGGAACUUGGGACUGGAAAAAAACUCGGGAUGGGAAUCUUACGCGAUGGCUUAUAUUACCUGGACAAGGAGGUGUCACCCUUUGUUGCAGGCUUGCAGCUAUGUUAUCUUCUUCACAAUUAGAAGAGUUUCUACUGCAACAUCGCAGGUAUGGACAGCGAGACAGGGGGAGACAAAGAAGGAAAUAGUGAAACAACAUCUAGAAAGAUGAUUGUUGGAGUAAUUCCAACCGGAGAUGAGCCUGAUGGUAGAGAUGAAGAUACAUCAAAUGCUGAACAAGAUCAAGAUCACACUCAGGGGGAGCAGCAAGAGCAUCCAACCGGAGAUGAGCCUGAUGGUAGAGAUGAAGAUACAUCAAAUGAUGAACGAGACACUCAGGGGGAGUAGGAAGAGUAUCAAACUGAAAGAUCAAGGUGGCCACAAAACCUGGUGUACUCACGGAGACAGAGAGCUGAGGAUGAUCAAGUGCAAGGGGAGGAAGAAAUCUCUUUGAGUCAGAAUCCUGACGCUCAAAUACAGCCAGAUUUACAUGACUCAAGUUCAAGUCCCUCUACAAGUGAUGGAAGCGAAGAGGUGCCCCACAUGGAGAGAUGCCAUGCUAGAAGAAAUGGCAGCACUUGACAAGAAUAACACAUGGGUGAUGAUGAUGAAGAGAUAUCGAGGUUAAAGAAGGCAUUGGCAUGUUCAUUUGAAGUCAAAGACCUGGGAUACCUUCACUACUUUCUUGGGAUUGGGGUUGUUUACGGUGCACAAGGUAUUUAUCUCUCUCAAAGGAAGUAUGUACUUGAUUUACUUGCUGAGACUGGAAUGUUAGAGUGUAGACCAGCACCCACACCUGUUGAGCAAAAUCUUCGAAUAUUAGCAGAUUCUGGUGAGUCAGUGGACAAAGGUAGAUAUCAAAGAUUAGUGGGGCGCUUAAUUUAUUUAUCACAUACUAGACCAGACAUUGCAUAUGCGGUUAGCAUUGUGAGCAGAUACAUGCAUGACCCUAGAACCAGCCACUUGGAUGCUGUAUACAGAGUUUUAAGGUAUCUAAAAGGGUGCCCGGGUAAAGGAAUUUUAUUUUCUAAUUAUGGGCAUCUUAAAAUAGAAGGAUAUACUGAUGCUGAUUGGUCUGGAUGUCUAGACGAUAGAAAGUCAACCGCUGGCUAUUGCAUGUUUUUGGGUGGAAAUUUAGUUAGCUGGCGGAGUAAAAAGCAGAGUGUAGUUGCACGUUCAACAGCUGAAGCUGAGUUUAGAUCUAUGGCAUCAGGUUUAUGUGAACUGAUGUGGUUGAGGAUACUAUUGUCAGAGCUUGGACUGCUUGUUAACGUACUGUGAUAACCAAGCUGCUAUUAACAUAGUUCACAAUCCGGUUCAUCAUGAUCGAACUAAGCAUGUCGAGAUAGAUAGGCACUUUAUUAAGGAGAAACUAGAUAAAGGUGUACUCAAAAUUACUUAUGUUAGGUCAUCAGAUCAACUAGCAGAUAUGUUGACAAAAGGUGUGAGUGUGGUAUCAUUUGUAAAUAUUUGUAGCAAGAUGAGGCUCAUUGACAUCUUCACCUCAUCUUGAGGGGGAGUGUUGGUGUACUUAUGUGUAAUACUAGAAGUAUAGGAGGGUGGAAUUGUAAAAGGUACUUUGUAUAUGUGUAACCAGUGAAGAAUAGAGAAAGUAGAGUAGUUCCAGAAAAAUCUACAAUCCCCAUUGAGUGUUCCUCUAGCUCUGGUGGUCUCCAGCGAUUACGACAGUUAGUCAAAGAAAACUCUGGCCUUCUGUUCAAAAGGAUGGGGCACAUAUACUUCAGCUCUGUUUUUAGUUUAACCUUUAGCUCUCUUUACACACAGAAAUGGAGAAUUUGUUAUGAUGAAAUAGAAACACUGGAAGCUAGGACUCUGAAUCAACCAUUAUGCUGUAGCAAACCUUUGCACAUGUAAACUAGCUAGCUUGGUUACACGGAAUUUUAAAAUACCUGAUUCACACCAAGAUACGGUUCGCCACGACUACAAACUCAACUCCCCAAAUUCAGGUCUCCAAAUUUUGCGAACCUCUAAUUUCAGCCAAGUAGAUCAAACUACGAACUAUGGUUUAUACACGGAGGGAGAGGUGAACUGAUGCCUGUUUGAAGUAGAUCCUGUGUCCGUCGCCAUCCAGGCAGCUGAUGAAAGAAACUACAUCGGAUUGUUGUUGCAUCUGUUCACAACCUUGGUAUUGGCAGCCGCCAGUCGCUCCUAUUCCCAGUCAACAUGCAAGUAACUUCCUAUGCUUAAAUGCCCUGCGCAGUAUUUUUUUUAAUCAUAUAACUCUCUUCUAAAGCAGCGACUUCAUACAGCUAGAUAUGUUGUGAGCAUAUUGCAUGUUUAAGUCAAUUGGGAUGGACUGAUCUUGAGUUGCAACAUAGGUUAUAUAAAUUACUUUAACAAGAAAAAUGUACAGGAGGAUUGUAAAACUCUCUAUCUUUUCAAUGCAAUAAAACGCAAAAGUCUUUUGCGUUUUCUUGAAAAAUAAAAAUGUACAGAACCAAUUGUAUGGAGUAUUCUUUUCUUUAUGCAUGAAUCAUGUAAAAUUAAUUUACUAUUACGAAAUAAAUAUUCAUGAGCUAGAUAAAUCACUUAAAUCAAUGUCAAGUUAAUCAACACAUAAAUAAUAGGAAUUACACGCUUUUUUAGAACUGCAUAUGGGUGGACUAUUGUCUGAAUCUCUUUUUAGCUUAAGGAGUAUCUUGAAUUUUAUGUGAAAAACUACAACUUUUUGUGCUUAUCCAUUUAUGAUUAUAAGCGCUAAACCUGAAGUGAAUUGAAUCAUGUCUGAAUUCAACCAAGUCUAAGGUCCCUCUCUAAUAUCUUUUGUGCAGGUCUGACAUGAAUGGAGGACUGUUAGUUCUCCAUGAUCGAAAACAGUGUAGCAAUAUCUUAUUUGUAAUAUUCGUAAGUUAAUUAAUGUUCAGUUUUUCAUUUUAUCAUUUACUGUUUGCACCAUGUUUUUAUAUAUGAUGGCCACACACUACAAAACAGCAGUAGCGUACCUGAAUCUUUGUUGGAGUUAGAAGGCAAACUGUCAAAAGUAUCUUCUGCUAUUCACAAUUCUGUUCACCAUAGAUCUAUGAAUUUCUGAAUCGUCUUGUUAAUUUUUUGGCAUCAGAUGUUUUUCCUAAAGAUCUAACACCCAAAAAUCUCCUUCCAGAGCAGUAGUGAUGCCCUCUUCUAUCAUCUCCUGUGAACCAUUGAAAGACACUACUUAAAGUCUUAUGUUUCGAGAUAUUGUAAGAACCUAUAGCAUAUGACAACAUAAUCAUGAGUUUAUCCUAUUCCUAAGUCAUCUAAUUCCUGCAAUCCGAGGGAGACCUUAUAUAUUUUGAAAAAACAUUAUAUGAAGAUGGUUAUGACGCAAUCAAUUAAAUUAUUAAAAAUAUCCAUAAAUAACAGAAAUCAUGUGGAUUACUGUAUAUAUGGAUUAAAAAGCCAUGUAAAUCUACCUGUCGACGGAACACAGACCUGCAAAAUGGAUGUGUUUUGUAUCUCUUGGGUUGUGUUCCUAUAUCUCUUACCGAGCUGAGCUGCUGAACAUGUAAAAGAUACCUCAAUGGCAAUGAGGUUGGCAUAGACAUAAAAUAAGUUUCCUGUGUUGUAGGCUCUUUCCUUGCAGCAAGCCACAAAAAUCUUGUGAUGAUCCAAGAUAUCACUAUAAAUGUUAGGCACCGGAGGGAGAGUGGGAUCAAUAUGUUACAACGGCAAUAUUUAUCAUUUAAGCUUAGUAUCAGUGACAAUGUUCCUACAACUGCAAUGCUAAGCGUAUAUGCUUAUUAUUAGUGAAGUGUUUGAUUUUCGUAAGCUAUUCUUCUUCAUACAUUUAUCUCAUGAACAAAUUUGAAUAUGGUCAGUUGGUAUUUAGGAAUUCCUUGAAUUGGUUAAUAAUGAUCAUUCCAACAUAUAUAAACUAAAACAUAAAGUUAAACUGGUUGAAUAACCACGGUAAGAAAGAGACAAAAGACAAUUCUUAUUUUGUGCAAAAAAGAUCCAAGCUCUGUCUAAACUACUAUGUUGCUGGAAACUCUACUCGAAAAUGGUAUAAAAGGCUUCAAGUUUUUAUGUAUCUCCACAAUGGGUAUUUAAUCAAAUUUAUUAAUAAGUUUCCUUUUUUAUUGGCUUUCUUUCUGUGUUAUUGGAAUAGUAUCUCACUAUAUGAGCGGAACAUGGAAUUCAUUAAUUUUUGUAUGAUAAAUAGAGCUGAUGUAGAUGCCUUUACAUUUCUUUUUCUUUGUAUGUAAGGAUGGAGGCAUAUAUGGUCUUUAUACCUAAUGGUUCCCAUCUGUCUUCUGAACCCCCUUUUCAAUGUGUGCAGCAGUGCAGCCAUCCCUUGCAGAUUUGAGACCAGAUUAUUAAACUGAUAUUUACUCUAUAUAUGUGGUGAUGUACAUGAUAUAAGUCUAUAUCAUAUAUUCAAUCAGUAAGUUUCCUUAGUUUUUUACUGAUAAAUAUUUUGACACAGUAAGUUAGAUGCAUGCAUUUGUUACCUAGGUACACAAAUAAUAGUUGGUAGCCGAGACAUCUUGCUGGUAAUUAAUAAUCAAGUCAAGAUUUUAUUUAAUCGGGAAAAUUUUCACCCCAUCCCAUCCUAAUUGCGGCCAAUUUUGGUUAAUACUUCCUUAGAAUUUCUCACUAAAAACAAAUCAUUUGACAUAAAAGAUGUGAACAGUACUAGCAGUUACAAUUUUUUUUUAUGAUGCUCACAAAUCAUGCUACAACAGGAUAAGACAUGGGAUUUUAUAUUGCAGUUAUCAUGACAAAGGGAUUUCUUCCAUACGUUUCUUCAGUAAUUAGUUCUUUUCCUGAAAGCCAAGGAAGAAUGUUGCACCGCUUAUUCUAUAUGGAUGGAAGAAAGAGCAUAAUAGAUAAAAUGAUUGCCCUAUGAAGGACUAAUUUAUGCUCGAUGAUCCUCUGCACUUUCCUAAUCCAUCUCAAUGGAAAUACGUUAGCACUGUAGGCUGCUACAAGUUUGCUUUAUCAAUGUACUUCCUUCCGUCAUUUAAAAUGCUUCUUUUGCUAAUUGUGCAUUAAUCUAAGUUGUAAGCCGGGCUAGCAACCCAGCUGCUUAGAGCCCCCGGCGAGGCGCAUUUCUGGCAAAUUAAACUAGCGAGUCAAGCAUAUAUUUACGUGCAGAUUUAAUCCAACGUGAUCCUCAAAUUUUUGUAAGCAUAACCUUGCAGUCACAUACUACUAUGAGCUACUACUGGACCAUUUGAAUGAUAAAAAGUUCAGGCUAUCGUUCUUAAAGGUCCAGUCUACCUUGCUGUAGCUUUUAAGAACUGAUACUUUCAUAUGUGAUAUUCAGUUCACUAGAUUCAGAGAAUUAAUUAAUAGUACAUGUUUUAGAUUUUUUCUUAUAAGACUAAAAUUCUCUGUCCUGUGCUUGAUAUUCAUUCGUGAACGACCCCUGCCGCCUCUCUUCUCCUCUAGGCUACUCCAAGUCUUGUACCAUUCGCUAUCGACUCGGCUACUCCUAGUCCCUUUGGCCCAUUCUCCUCUACUAGAACUGGAACAAUGACCCGACAGAGGCUCCCAGUCCACUACAAUUUUUUAGUUCUAUUUAUGUCGAAACUUCAACCCAUAACUUCACUUUUGUAGGUAGGAUCAAUCCUUAACUUCAGUUUAUACAUACAUGUAACUACUGCUCUUUUUAGUUCGGUUCAUGUCCAUGCUUCAGACCUUAAACCUUAAUUUCUCUUAGCAGGCAUAUUGUAGUGUUACAUGGAUCCUCCUCUUCAGUUCAUACCUUACAUGCCCAACAAAUCAUUGACCUGAGAAUUUAAUAUGGCAUUUAACCUUGUACCUUUCUUAUUUGUUCAACAUUAUUCAUUGCGCAGAUUUCCUCUGACUCUUACCAUUUCAAAUUAUCAACAAACAGAAGGAAACUCAGGGUAUAAUUGGAUAAUUUUGGGAUCUAUGGUCUGUGGUAAUGGAGCUCGAUUUUAGCGAGUUAAGUAUGCCAUAAUAUAUUUCCCUCGGCUAUGCAUGGCUGCUUUGGGUAAACAAUGUCCAAAACUGAAGCCCAGCUAUGCAUGUAUGAUAAAAUCAAUCCAUUGUACAAUCUAAUUGAACUAUACCUCCAUUACAAAUGUUGUGAUGUACCUACAAGUCUGAUUUUUCUAUUGGAUGGAUUCAGUCAGCUGUCACUUGAUGAUAUGUGAGCUAUAUUAGCAUGGCUAUCUUGCAUAACUUCCAAUUCAGCUUACACUGCUUGAUCUUUUUUUAGGAGAUUGAUCUUUUCUUUAGGAGAUUGAUCUUUUUUAUAUUCCUUCAGCGACUGGAUAAUUAAGAGACAAGUAGGAGAGGAACUAGAAUUGACAACUUAAAUUGAUGGAUGGCUGGCAUGCAUCACUCUUUUCCUUUUUUGGAUGUUGUAGAAAUCAGUUUGCUGCUGAUAUCUUUUGACAUAUUUUGAAAACUAUCAGACAACCAUGGCAGGUUUUGGGGUCGUGGUGACAUCUCCUUUCGCAGUGAAAAAUGUUUUGAUCAGGUAGAUUAAGUAUGUAUUUUCCUGGCAGAUCCAUACAUUAAUAUCAUUCAUUCUAUAGCAUCGUUGGAUCGAGAAUGACAUAUAAAGGAUUGUUGGUGUAAUAUUUCCUCUUGGGGUGAUUGCCAAAAUUCAAGCAUGUGAUUUAGAACUUUAAGUACCGAGUAAUGCCGAGAAUUAUGUGAUUUAGAACAAUAAUCCAUGUAUCUCUGUGUUGUUUCCAAGUUUGAAACCAAUUUUCCAUUCAAAGAUUAGCAGACUUGGUUCUAUGCAUAAUUCAUUGCUUCAUGUCAGGCCCUCUAUAACAGAGUUAUGUAUCCAGGUUUGCUUUGCUUAUCCUGUUUGUAAAUAGUCUUUUCAGAUUUGGCUACCUGCUGGUACUUACCUGAUCUUGACUACCAUUAUACCCAUAAUGAUAAACCCUUUUGUGGUUUGAAUUUUCUUAUAGACCAUGAUUUUAUUUCAUCUACCAUCUUGCUAGCUUGAAGAACAAACAUGCCUAAACCUACUGCCCUAUUAUGAAUGUUUUAAAAAGCCAUGUGUUCUAUAGAACGAUUAAAUAUUUUGCUGAUAUGAUGAGACGUGAAAACAGUUGCUAGCAUAAAACCACCACAUUCGCUGCCAAAUCUUCGUUUUGGACCACUUUGUAUUUCGGGAGCAAAAUUCGUCGGUUUCCCAAAAAACAUUAAACCGUCUAUGAGCACGAAUUGGCAUGAUUUCUGCCAAUCCUGGCCCCAUUGUCAGAGCUGGUGUGUCACCAACUAGACGCCUUCAGACACGGUCUUUAAUGGUCCGUGGGUCCCACCCACUUUUCGGCCGUUUAAUCGUGCGCGGCCGUUGACGCCGGGGUCAGUCGCGACCUUUCUCCCCCACUCACUCGUUUGUGCCGAGGCUGCUCCGCUGUGGUUCCAUCGUCGCCGUCUCCGCCGAUCGUUCGCACCGCCAUGCCAAGCUGGAAGGACGGCGAGAGCUCGACGGAGCAGCUGGAUGAACCGAUGGACAUGGACUAUGUCCCUAAGACUUGCGAGGACAUAUCAUUUGUAGGAAUAGCUGUCGGUGGAGAGCGUUGCCGCGUGCAUAAUUUGGAGCCAAACAGAUGCGUGGCUUUUGAAGGGAUGAACACCGGGAGGAGGUUCUACAUGUGCUCCGUCGGUCAUAUUCUGUACAAUUGUGGUUUUGUGGCCUGGGUUGAUGAAGAGUGGCCAGCUACUCUUCAAAAUGCUCUGAGAAAGCUGUGGGCAAUGUACCAUGAGGCCAACAAUACAAUAAUAGAAGAGAGGAUCAAGAACGCCAAAUUGGUGCAGGAGUUGGUUGAGGACAGGAACAAGUUCAAGAACUACAACACACUGAUGGAUGAUGUGGACAAAUUCACGAAAGAAACAGAGAAAAGAGUGAUGGAGAAAAAAUUGAAAAAUAUGAAUGAGGAAAUGAACCAGAUCUCUGACUUGGCCACACCUGAGCUUGAAGCUGAGGUGAUCAAAUUGAAUUCUGAGAUGUUUAAUUUGAAGGAGGAGAAGAAACACUGGGAGAAGGAAAGAGAGGAGCUGAAGACGGAGAAGAAACAGUGGGAGAAGGAAAGAGAGAAGCUGAAGGAGGAGAACAAGAAGACAGAGUGCAUGCUCUUUGACCUUCUGAAAGUUUGCAAUGCUAACAAAGAGAAGCUUAUGAAGAUCAAGCAGAUUGUUGGACAACUGUAAUAUGGUCAAAUAUGGUGUUGUAAUCCUUAAUUUGAACCAGUAGUGUUGAACCUUUAUGUGGUGAACUAUGUUGCUGUAAUGGUAUUGUUGAACCAGUAGUGUUGAA